RNAcentral lists this ribosomal RNA (542 nucleotides) under Lecanora allophana. RNAcentral describes it as "eukaryotic LSU rRNA". The stretch from base 201 to 354 matches the Rfam family "5.8S ribosomal RNA". Lineage: Eukaryota; Fungi; Ascomycota; Lecanoromycetes; Lecanorales; Lecanoraceae. The record is from RNAcentral.
UUGAGAGCGGGGCUUCGCGCUCCCGGGGGCUUCGGCCCCCAACUCUUCACCCUCUGUCUAUCUACCUUUGUUGCUUUGGCGGGCCACGGGGUCUUCCCCGCGCUGACCCCAGACGGAAACGUCCGGGCACGCGAGCGCCCGUCAGAGGCCCAAAAUAACCCUAUUAUCUUUGAAGUCCGAGUAAAAACACAAUAGAAAAAAACUUUCAACAACGGAUCUCUUGGUUCUGGCAUCGAUGAAGAACGCAGCGAAAUGCGAUAAGUAAUGUGAAUUGCAGAAUUCAGUGAAUCAUCGAAUCUUUGAACGCACAUUGCGCCCCUCGGUAUUCCGGGGGGCAUGCCUGUUCGAGCGUCAUUGCACCCCUCAAGCACAGCUUGGUAUUGGGCCUCGCCUCCCGGGGCGUGCCCGAAAAGCAGUGGCGGUCCGGCGAGACUUCGAGCGCAGUAAAUAUCUCCCGCUUUGGAAGUUCCCGUCGCGACCGGCCAGAACACCCCAUUUUCACAAUGAAUUGACCUCGGAUCAGGUAGGGAUACCCGCUGAAC